UGAGUAACGCGUGGGUGACCUGCCCCAUACCGCCUUAUAACAGCUGGAAACGGCUGCUAAUACCGUAUAAGCGCACAGAGCUGCAUGGCUCAGUGUGAAAAACUCCGGUGGUAUGGGAUGGGCCCGCGUCUGAUUAGGCAGUUGGCGGGGUAACGGCCCACCAAACCGACGAUCAGUAGCCGGCCUGAGAGGGCGACCGGCCACAUUGGGACUGAGACACGGCCCAAACUCCUACGGGAGGCAGCAGUGGGGAAUAUUGCACAAUGGGGGAAACCCUGAUGCAGCGACGCCGCGUGAGCGAAGAAGUAUUUCGGUAUGUAAAGCUCUAUCAGCAGGGAAGAUAAUGACUGUACCUGACUAAGAAGCCCCGGCUAACUACGUGCCAGCAGCCGCGGUAAUACGUAGGGGGCAAGCGUUAUCCGGAUUUACUGGGUGUAAAGGGAGCGUAGACGGCAAGGCAAGUCUGAUGUGAAAACCCAGGGCUUAACCCUGGGACUGCAUUGGAAACUGUCUGGCUCGAGUGCCGGAGAGGUAAGCGGAAUUCCUAGUGUAGCGGUGAAAUGCGUAGAUAUUAGGAAGAACACCAGUGGCGAAGGCGGCUUACUGGACGGUAACUGACGUUGAGGCUCGAAAGCGUGGGGAGCAAACAGGAUUA
This 655-nucleotide ribosomal RNA is filed under the name uncultured bacterium. RNAcentral describes it as "bacterial SSU rRNA". It matches the Rfam family "Bacterial small subunit ribosomal RNA", at positions 107 to 780 of the family's 1533-position model. The record is from RNAcentral.